CCUACGGGAGGCAGCAGUGGGGAAUAUUGCACAAUGGGCGCAAGCCUGAUGCAGCCAUGCCGCGUGUGUGAAGAAGGCCUUCGGGUUGUAAAGCACUUUCAGCGGGGAGGAAGGCGGUGAGGUUAAUAACCUCAUCGAUUGACGUUACCCGCAGAAGCAGCACCGGCUAACUCCGUGCCAGCAGCCGCGGUAAUACGGAGGGUGCAAGCGUUAAUCGGAAUUACUGGGCGUAAAGCGCACGCAGGCGGUCUGUCAAGUCGGAUGUGAAAUCCCCGGGCUCAACCUGGGAACUGCAUUCGAAACUGGCAGGCUAGAGUCUUGUAGAGGGGGGUGGAAUUCCAGGUGUAGCGGUGAAAUGCGUAGAGAUCUGGAGGAAUACCGGUGGCGAAGGCGGCCCCCUGGACAAAGACUGACGCUCAGGUGCGAAAGCGUGGGGAGCAAACAGGAUUAGAUACCCUAGUAGUC
RNAcentral lists this ribosomal RNA (465 nucleotides) under uncultured Klebsiella sp. RNAcentral's name for it is "bacterial SSU rRNA". It matches the Rfam family "Bacterial small subunit ribosomal RNA", at positions 338 to 795 of the family's 1533-position model. The record is from RNAcentral. Lineage: Bacteria; Pseudomonadati; Pseudomonadota; Gammaproteobacteria; Enterobacterales; Enterobacteriaceae.